CCUACGGGUGGCAGCAGUGAGGAAUAUUGGUCAAUGGCCGGAAGGCUGAACCAGCCAAGCCGCGUGAAGGACGAAGGUGCCAAGCAUUGUAAACUUCUUUUGUCAAGGGACAAAAUCAGGCUCGAGAGCCUGACCGAGGGUACGUGAAGAAAAAGAAUCGGCUAACUCCGUGCCAGCAGCCGCGGUAAUACGGAGGAGGCGAGCGUUAUCCGGAUUGAUGGGGUUUAAAGGGUGCGGAGGCGGGCUGUUAAGGCAGCGGUAAAAGCCCGGGGCUCACCCCCGGCGAGCCGUUGAAACUGGCUGUCUUGAGUUGUCGAGAGGUAUGCGGAAUGCUCAGUGUAGCGGUGAACUGCUUAGAUAUUGCGCAGAACUCCGAUUGCGAAGGCAGCAUACCGGCUGCGAUCUGACGCUGAGGCACGAAAGCGUGGGUAUCGAACAGGAUUAGAUACCCUGGUAGUC
This 459-nucleotide ribosomal RNA is filed under the name uncultured bacterium. RNAcentral's name for it is "partial 16S ribosomal RNA". It matches the Rfam family "Bacterial small subunit ribosomal RNA", at positions 338 to 795 of the family's 1533-position model. The record is from RNAcentral.